Daktulosphaira vitifoliae (grape phylloxera) is the source of this 573-nucleotide long non-coding RNA. RefSeq lists it as uncharacterized. The transcript has 3 exons. The record is from RefSeq and is a predicted model, not a curated record. Lineage: Eukaryota; Metazoa; Arthropoda; Insecta; Hemiptera; Phylloxeridae.
UUGAUCAAACUAGCCGCGACCCCGUGUUGUCGUCGGUACAUUUUAAAGCGAUAUCAAGUACAAUUAUUUUUGCGUCAAUAAUUUUUUUAAUUAUUAAAAAGGAAAAGUAUAAAUCUGAACGUAAGAUAUAUAGUAAAUAAGUCCAGAUUAAGAAACAGUAUAUUUCAUGUUAUAUACUAAGAAUAUCAUGCGACUUUGCUUAAACAGGUGUAAAAUUAAAUAAACUAAAAUAAGUCAACUAAUAAUUAAAAAAUUGGAUUUAAAUAAGUGAUACGGUCACAUUUUGUGCACAAAUCUUGGUUCAGUGAAUAACAUUUAACAGCUUGGUCAGCAUUCAUGCUUAUUACAGAUAGAUAUACAGGGACCCGCUGACAAUGUUAAUAUACACAUUCUUACAGAAAACUGUUUGUGAAAAUAUAGUGCAACAAGCAGUUGAGACCUACCAAAUGAAUGUUUAACAUCUAAUUAAUAUUAUUUGAACUUAUUAUUAUUAUUUAAUUAUGAUUUAAAAAAUUAUAAUUCUCAUGAUGUUUAUAGCACAUUUUUAUCUCCCUGAUGGACAUUCUCAACAUA